UCACUAACAUACCAUUCAUACAUUCAAAUACCAUUACAAUACCAUGACAAAAGCUACGAACUAGUCAAUAACAUAACAUUAAUUUAGUGUUCUAAAACAAAAACUAAGAACUACUUGGUGGAUUACCGGACGGAUUGAUUUGUUUCAUAAAGGCUGCCAAUUGUCGUUGCACUUGCAAUUCCAUUUCAUUUCGCAUUUGUUGCAUUUGCAAAUUCAUUUCACUUUGCUUUUCAUCCAUGGCUUGUUGCAUGUUUGACACUUGUUGUCGCAACUCAUUUACCUAAAUAUAGCAAGACAAACACAUGCAGUUAGUAAAUGUAAUUCAACUUUAAACCAUGAUAGCAAUGUACUUUACUUUUAAUUUCAUCUAUAAUUAGUCAAAGAAGGAUAAAAUUUUCAAUUAAUACAUGAAUAUUAGAAUAAUACUAAAUUCAUAGAAUGAAUAUUUGGAAUUGAGUGUCCUCUUAGUAUCAAUUCUUUUGAAACUAAAUAGUAGUAGCCUACAUAUAAUCUGUUGAUGAAAUUGUAGACUUGGUUGAAACUAAAUGACAUUAAUUUUGACAAAACCAAUUUUGAAAACAUUAAAAGAUUAGCAUUAUAAAAUGAAUCAUUUACAUCAAAAACUAAAGGCUAAAAAAAAUAUAUUUGAGUAAUUUAUGGUAGCCAAAAAUAGAUGCGCAUGCUACUGAUGCAUGAUUCUCCCAAAAGAAAAGGACAUUGACAAGUAUUAACACAUACAUGAAUGAUAUUAGUUUCCUAAGCAUUUGUAGGCAUUUAUGAUGAAGUCGGUUUCAUUUGCUAGUUAUUACGGGGGUAGUAUUUUCUUGAGAAUCUCUUGUGGAUAUAUAAUAUAACAAGUAUUAAGAUACGGCUUACUUUUUGUUGAUUAGUCUUAUGAAUGCCAUCUUCUAUAAUUAAAAACAAAACGUUGAUUAUGCUUUUAGGAAGAACUAUGUACAUAUUUAUAUUCCCUGAAACUAGAAAGCUAUGUUAGUCUUUUAAAGCAUGCCAAUCUUUCAACAAAAAGUCAAACAAAAAACAAUAUAACCUACCACAAUAUAAAGUAUAUACUAAUACACAUCUAUUAGAAAGGGCUAGAGCAUCAAGGGUAAAAUCGUCCAAAUAGGCAAAAUUUCAAAGAUUUACAAGGGAGACACAUUUUCAAAUCCAAACAACCAAAACUGAGGCUAACAGGAAAAUUCCGUCCCAAAUAGGAGAAUACUUCCAUUACAGAUCUUGGACAGGGUCACAGAAUUCAGAAGAGGAAAGGGUAUCUAAUUUGGAUCUUAACUUGAGCUCUGCACAUGGACAAGUUACAACUAUUGCUGCAAAACUGCUGCAUACUGAUGAUUCAAGUUCUAUGGGUCUAAAUUAGUGAAAUCUACUGCAAUGGAGAAGUUACAAGUAUGGAAAGCAAAGCUGAAAAAGACACUUGAAAUCACAAAAACUGAAAUUGAUUCUCCAGGGGCAAAAUUUGUGAAAUGUGAGCAAACUGAAAUCGACAUACAUACAUACCUGGGGUGUCGCUGAUGGUGGUGUGAGCAGUGACGGUUGUAGUAUGGUGCAGCGAUGGUGGUGGUACGGGGCAACAUCGGCGGUGGUGUGCGACAGCGACGUUGGAGGGCAAACCUACAACCGUUUUGGUCAAUGUGGGUCGCCGAUAUGAGCUGAAAUCAGAGUUCGGAAAUCACAAAACUCGAAUUGGUUGCUUGAAAUCAGUCGAGAAUCACCGGUGGAUGUGUGCUGCAGCAGGGGUUCCGAAAUCGCCAAGCAAGGGUUUUAUUUGGGUAACAAAAAAAAUGGUCAUUCCUACAUUGUGAAAAUGUGCUUCGAAAUCGUACCUGGGGUGUCGCCGCUGGUAGUGUGGGGCAGCGACGGUGGUGGUAUGGUGCAGCGACGGUGGUGAUACGGGGCAGCGUCGGCGGUGGUGUGCGACAACGAUGGUUGGUUGGCAAACCUGCAACAGUUUGGUCAAUGUGGGUCGCCGAUCGAUUGUUUGGAAAUCAUAGAAGUCGAAUAGGUUACCAAAAAAUGUCGCCGAUGUACGUAUCAGUCGAGAAUCACCGGCGGAUGUGUGCUGGUUCGGAAAUCGCCAAUCGCCGGUGUAAGCUAGGGCUUUGUUUGCGACGAGCUAGUUACGAAUAGUGAAGCGGGAAACAAUUUGGGUUUUAGGAGGCGUAGCAAAUCGGUAGCAUAUGGAAAUCGUAGGAAUUUCGUAGGUAUAAACAAAUUGGG
This 2235-nucleotide long non-coding RNA is filed under the name Lactuca sativa (garden lettuce). RNAcentral describes it as "long non-coding RNA (LSAT_LNC007854)". The record is from RNAcentral. Lineage: Eukaryota; Viridiplantae; Streptophyta; Magnoliopsida; Asterales; Asteraceae.